CAUAGGUUAAUGAGGCGAACCGGGGGAACUGAAACAUCUAAGUACCCCGAGGAAAAGAAAUCAACCGAGAUUCCCCCAGUAGCGGCGAGCGAACGGGGAGCAGCCCAGAGCCUGAAUCAGUGAGUGUGUUAGUGGAAGCGUCUGGAAAGGCGCGCGAUACAGGGUGACAGCCCCGUACACAAAAAUGCACAUGCUGUGAGCUCGAUGAGUAGGGCGGGACACGUGGUAUCCUGUCUGAAUAUGGGGGGACCAUCCUCCAAGGCUAAAUACUCCUGACUGACCGAUAGUGAACCAGUACCGUGAGGGAAAGGCGAAAAGAACCCCGGCGAGGGGAGUGAAAAAGAACCUGAAACCGUGUACGUACAAGCAGUGGGAGCACGCUUCGGCGUGUGACUGCGUACCUUUUGUAUAAUGGGUCAGCGACUUAUAUUCUGUAGCAAGGUUAACCGAAUAGGGGAGCCGAAGGGAAACCGAGUCUUAACUGGGCGUUAAGUUGCAGGGUAUAGACCCGAAACCCGGUGAUCUAGCCAUGGGCAGGUUGAAGGUUGGGUAACACUAACUGGAGGACCGAACCGACUAAUGUUGAAAAAUUAGCGGAUGACUUGUGGCUGGGGGUGAAAGGCCAAUCAAACCGGGAGAUAGCUGGUUCUCCCCGAAAGCUAUUUAGGUAGCGCCUCGUGAAUUCAUCUCCGGGGGUAGAGCACUGUUUCGGCAAGGGGGUCAUCCCGACUUACCAACCCGAUGCAAACUGCGAAUACCGGAGAAUGUUAUCACGGGAGACACACGGCGGGUGCUAACGUCCGUCGUGAAGAGGGAAACAACCCAGACCGCCAGCUAAGGUCCCAAAGUCAUGGUUAAGUGGGAAACGAUGUGGGAAGGCCCAGACAGCCAGGAUGUUGGCUUAGAAGCAGCCAUCAUUUAAAGAAAGCGUAAUAGCUCACUGGUCGAGUCGGCCUGCGCGGAAGAUGUAACGGGGCUAAACCAUGCACCGAAGCUGCGGCAGCGACGCUUAUGCGUUGUUGGGUAGGGGAGCGUUCUGUAAGCCUGUGAAGGUGUGCUGUGAGGCAUGCUGGAGGUAUCAGAAGUGCGAAUGCUGACAUAAGUAACGAUAAAGCGGGUGAAAAGCCCGCUCGCCGGAAGACCAAGGGUUCCUGUCCAACGUUAAUCGGGGCAGGGUGAGUCGACCCCUAAGGCGAGGCCGAAAGGCGUAGUCGAUGGGAAACAGGUUAAUAUUCCUGUACUUGGUGUUACUGCGAAGGGGGGACGGAGAAGGCUAUGUUGGCCGGGCGACGGUUGUCCCGGUUUAAGCGUGUAGGCUGGUUUUCCAGGCAAAUCCGGAAAAUCAAGGCUGAGGCGUGAUGACGAGGCACUACGGUGCUGAAGCAACAAAUGCCCUGCUUCCAGGAAAAGCCUCUAAGCAUCAGGUAACAUCAAAUCGUACCCCAAACCGACACAGGUGGUCAGGUAGAGAAUACCAAGGCGCUUGAGAGAACUCGGGUGAAGGAACUAGGCAAAAUGGUGCCGUAACUUCGGGAGAAGGCACGCUGAUAUGUAGGUGAAGUCCCUCGCGGAUGGAGCUGAAAUCAGUCGAAGAUACCAGCUGGCUGCAACUGUUUAUUAAAAACACAGCACUGUGCAAACACGAAAGUGGACGUAUACGGUGUGACGCCUGCCCGGUGCCGGAAGGUUAAUUGAUGGGGUUAGCGGUAA
RNAcentral lists this ribosomal RNA (1710 nucleotides) under Escherichia coli. RNAcentral's name for it is "partial 23S ribosomal RNA". It matches the Rfam family "Bacterial large subunit ribosomal RNA", at positions 165 to 1898 of the family's 2925-position model. The record is from RNAcentral. Lineage: Bacteria; Pseudomonadati; Pseudomonadota; Gammaproteobacteria; Enterobacterales; Enterobacteriaceae.